CACCCUAUUCCCACCCAUUCCAACUAAAGCUAGAAAUCAAUUGGCCAUCGUCGUCACUACAACCACCACCACCCGUUGUCUCUACAAACCAAAACUAAAAGUCAUCAUCACCACCACUACCACCAUUAAACCUACAGUUAAAACCAAAAAUACCACCCCCACCAAAUUGUCCUACAUAUAUAAAAGGGCGAAGCAAAGGUGGGACACGUGUCGGCCAUGGAUUUCGUCUUGUAUUUUUUCUUUCUUCUUUAUUGUCUUGGCCGAAUCCCAAACUAAAUCCCAUACCGUUUGUGCAUUUCUUAAACUCCAUUGACCAUUCAUCUGCUAUUCUGAUUGAUCUCUGUAAAUUGAUUUUUCGUUUUCUCUCCUAUUGCUACGAAGAUACGAAAAAAAUGUGAAGAAAACAAAUUCACCUUACUGAGCAUGUAUCAUUUCUAUUCUAUGGACAAGGAAUCCCAGACAAAUUUAGAAGUUCGAAUAGCCUUGUCCAUUAGAAGAUCAUUGAGUGAUUAUUGAAGAUUUCUAGCUUCAAAUGUUUGUUAAGGCUGUAGAAAGUGGGAGGUCUCCUCAGUAGUGUUUGGGAUUGGAUGGACAGAAGAAUUCUCUAAUUUGUAUGUAAGUAUGUUUUGAUUUUUUACUCUUUUUAGUUAAUCAUCAAUUUUCUUAAGUUUCAUUUGAUUACCGGGCAUCGUAUUAAUUUUGUUAGAAGAUACCUUCCAAAUGAUGGUGAAUUAGCUUCAGAGAUAAUUUUGUAAAACUAUUUAUUGAAAUUAAUUUCUCUUAGUUAGAAAUGAAAUGAUUGUAAAUUUGACACUUGUAAUUUUGUAUUAAAAGGAUAUAGAAGGACAAAACUUGAGAAUAGUGAUUAUUAGAUGGGAUGAGGUGAAAGGGGUAGACGCUGGAGUAAUUAGUUAAAAAAGAGUUUAUAAUGUUGUUUAUGUGCAAUGACAUCUCCAGCGUGGAGAAUAUAAGCAUUUUUAAAAAAAAUAAAAAUAAUAAGAAUAAUAAUGGGAGCUAAAGCUCUGUGCAGAAGAAAAAAUAAUAAUGGGAGCUAAAGCUCCGUGCACGGACGGAGCAGAAGAAAAAAAAAAUAAUGGGAGCGAAAGCUCCGUGCCCACACGUGCAUCUGUCCAACACUCCGUGCUCAGCUCAUUGGAGAGGUAACUUCCACCCAACCUGCUCCUCAUGUCGCCUGAUGUGAAGGUCACAUACAUGCGUGAUAUCCUCCUCCGGUACUCCCCUGAAAGUGAGCGCAUCCGAGUCAGUAAAGUUGUAUUAAACUUGUAUAUGAUCUGUGUAUGAAUUAGAUGUUUUACCCGUCAGUUAUUGAAUUUUGUGGAAGGGCAAACUGUCUAAUUUCAGUGGGUGUGGGUCUAUAUAUAACAAUAAUCAUUUUUUGGAUGAAAAUUAUUAUUGAAUGAGAGAAAAAUACAAAAUUGGAAUUACGUUUUCAAUUUUCCGUCUAUAAACUCUUAUUGGUUAAUCUACCCAUUCAUUUUGUCAUGAGCAUGAGAAUUGUUGCUCUUUCAAUUAUAUAAAUCUUGUGUGGUGAGGGAAUGACUGAAAGCAAUAAAUAUUAGUUGCUUGUGUGUGUUGAAAUUCUCAGAAUUCUUGUUUCUAAGUGGUUUAGUGAUCUGGGUGUUUUGAAAGCUGUGUUCUGUAAUUGGAACUGGAGUUUUUGAAGGUUUUGUGAUGUGGGUUGAGUGUUUAUCAAGAAGGCAACCUGGAUAUUGGCAAUUGUGGUUUGGUUUUAACUGGAAAUUGAUUACUGGGUCCUCUACAGAUCUGAUUGCGAGGCAGACAAUUCUGAAUGAGCUUCACAAAAAAAUUGAAUCUUUUUGCCAUUGCUAAGAAAUUGCAGUUCAUUUUAUAUGUCAAUGGGCAGUGAUACAUACAUAGAUCCCGCUAAUUUCUCGAUUUGAGUUUGGAUUUUGUGAAGCAAACUUGGUUAUAUCAAAAGUGAAAACUAGAUGAUAUUAGGUUGGAGACUUUGUUGCCUGAUAAUUGAAUUGUUUGCAGUCCAGGAUGGACUUUGGAUGAAGUUCUUGAAUUCUUGAAGUACAUUGAAAUAUAUAGAUGUGGAAAUGGUGGAAUUUAAUUAAUUUCGGAUGCCUAUUAGAUGGCAUCUACAUCUCCUUCCCCAAAUUCUCCACCCGUCGCUGUUCCACCAUCUUCUUCUAACGCUCCCUCUCCGCAGCCUUCCUCUCUGCCUCCUGAUCCUCUAAAUUCAUCAACACCAUCUCAGCCCAAUUCAACUGCAUUACUUCUCCAGUCGUAUCUCCACCACCGCAAUCACCUCCUUCCAAUAAUGUAACAGAAACUCUUCCAGUCUUACUAGUGUCCCCUCCUUCGUCUCCCCCUCCUCAGCCUACACCUUCACCUUCAACCAAUUCACCAUCACCAUCUUCCAGUCCUCCUCCUCCAACACCUUCUGAUCCACCUACAAAGCCUCCUCCUCGUCCUCCUAAUCCACCAGCUACCUCAUCACCUCAACCAGCUCAAAAUGUGGGCAUCUGCCACGGAAUAUGAUUUGAUAUCUCAAUGAUUGGGAGUCUAAAGAAGUUGGAAAUUCUCACUUUUUAUCAUUAUUAUCUCUAUUUUGAUUUUCCCACUAAAAUAGCAGAACUUAGCGACCUAAAGUUACUGGAUUUGAGAUUUUGGACAGUCCCCUGCCCACUUCCACCUGGUGUUUUAUUGGGUAUGAAAAAACUGGAAGAGUUGUACUUUGGAGAAUACUUCGAAAUGAGAUGAAGAAAAGGGGUACAUUAUUAAAGAGAUAAAUUCACUGACUGCUCUUAACACUUUCCAAAUUCCCACAGAUGAUACUCAGUUUUUGAUGCAAAUAUUACAAGUAUUGUGUGUUGAGAACUUGAAAAGAUAUGAAAUCCCCAUGGCCGAAGAAAGGGACUCGGUACUGGAAAUUAUCAUGUCACAAGGAGGCUGGACUUCCUAGAUGGUAUUGACGCAGGUACUCAUUUGCUAUGUGGAUUUAACUCAUUAAUGAGGACAGGUUACCAACUUUAUAUUGUAAAAUCAACAGCUUGGAAUACGCUUGUGAAUGGGCUAGAUAAAGAUGGUUUCUUUAACUUGAAGAAGCUGAGGCCAUCAAGUAGUGAUUUUGAGUACAUUAUUGAUGCGACAUACUCUAUUCCAAGUGGAACCUUCUGUAAUCUGGAGCUUCUUAAAUUGGAAGGUCUGCAUAAUCUCAUACAGAUAUGCAAUGGAAAUCUUCCAAGAAUGGAACAUUUUAGGAGUCAGUUGUUUCUUUGCUGUUACCUGGACCCUUUUCCCAAACACUAUUAAGUUUGCAAAUGACAUGAAAUUUUAUUGCAUUAA
This is a long non-coding RNA of Olea europaea var. sylvestris, 3336 nucleotides long. RefSeq lists it as uncharacterized. The record is from RefSeq and is a predicted model, not a curated record. NCBI's taxonomy places the organism in Eukaryota, Viridiplantae, Streptophyta, Magnoliopsida, Lamiales, Oleaceae. The transcript has 3 exons.